GUUCCGCUGCUACGCAUCGGCUGGACUCUCCCACUAGCCGGUGUGACCCUGACUCUGUGCCGGGUCUGAGGAUGCCCUCCGUCGUCAUCCCUUAGAAGGCGUUACCUGCUUUCAGACUGCCUCGUUGCGGCGCACUCACUACUUCCAAAAGCCUAGCAUUUCGAGACAACAAUCCCUUCUUGUUCAUAGACAACUUAUUCGUCCAUGGAACUGCCAUGGAUUGGUCUUUCGGUGCCGAUUGAUGCACGGUCGUCGGCGCCAUUAUGCAUCCACCGUUCGCAACAGGCCUUAAUAACCCGCAUUUCGCGCGCGUCCGCCAAGGAAUUCAGACUACACUUUCGGGUGCCGAGUUGGCACCUCCCAGUAACCUUUGACCCCUUGAACUCACGUCUUCUCCUCUCGCCUUAAGGUGCACAUCGCCACUUUACGCAUCUCUACACCUCCUUGUGGUCACCGCUUCCGCCGAGAGACCAGACAUUGACUGCGACUCCGCGCUUUCGCACCCCUCGCUUGUCCUAAUCUAUGGGACCAUCAGGUGCGGCAUUUGCUACUCACGAUUCACAAUCUCCCAA
RNAcentral lists this ribosomal RNA (572 nucleotides) under Priestia endophytica. Its description in RNAcentral is "Bacillus endophyticus partial 16S ribosomal RNA". The record is from RNAcentral. Lineage: Bacteria; Bacillati; Bacillota; Bacilli; Caryophanales; Bacillaceae.